UUUAGCACAGAGUCUACAACUUAGUAAAUCUUUAAAAAUCCAACAUACAAUGGCCCCUGCGCAAGGAUGACACGCAAAUUCGUGAAGCGUUCCAUAUUUAA
Molecule: small nuclear RNA, 101 nt
Filed under: Neogale vison (American mink)
Lineage: Eukaryota; Metazoa; Chordata; Mammalia; Carnivora; Mustelidae
Source: RNAcentral